CAGUAGCCGCGGGAAUACAGAGGGUGCGAGCGUUAAUCGGAUUUACUGGGCGUAAAGCGUGCGUAGGCGGCUUUUUAAGUCGGAUGUGAAAUCCAUGAGCUUAACUUAGGAAUUGCAUUCGAUACUGGGAAGCUAGAGUAUGGGAGAGGAUGGUAGAAUUCCAGGUGUAGCGGUGAAAUGCGUAGAGAUCUGGAGGAAUACCGAUGGCGAAGGCAGCCAUCUGGCCUAAUACUGACGCUGAGGUACGAAAGCAUGGGGAGCAAACAGGAUUAGAUACCCCCGUAGUCCCUGUCUCUUAUAC
Molecule: ribosomal RNA, 301 nt
Filed under: uncultured bacterium
Lineage: Bacteria
Description: partial 16S ribosomal RNA
Rfam family: Bacterial small subunit ribosomal RNA
Source: RNAcentral